Molecule: ribosomal RNA, 497 nt
Filed under: uncultured bacterium
Lineage: Bacteria
Description: partial 16S ribosomal RNA
Rfam family: Bacterial small subunit ribosomal RNA
Source: RNAcentral
GAUGAACGCUGGCGGCGUGCCUAAUACAUGCAAGUAGAACGCUGAAGGAAGGAGCUUGCUCUUUCCGGAUGAGUUGCGAACGGGUGAGUAACGCGUAGGUAACCUGCCUGGUAGCGGGGGAUAACUAUUGGAAACGAUAGCUAAUACCGCAUAACAGUAGAUGUUGCAUGAUAUCUACUUAAAAGGUGCAAUUGCACCACUACCAGAUGGACCUGCGUUGUAUUAGCUAGUUGGUGAGGUAACGGCUCACCAAGGCGACGAUACAUAGCCGACCUGAGAGGGUGAUCGGCCACACUGGGACUGAGACACGGCCCAGACUCCUACGGGAGGCAGCAGUAGGGAAUCUUCGGCAAUGGACGGAAGUCUGACCGAGCAACGCCGCGUGAGUGAAGAAGGUUUUCGGAUCGUAAAGCUCUGUUGUAAGAGAAUAACGAGUGUGAGAGUGGAAAGUUCACACUGUGACGGUAUCUUACCAGAAAGGGACGGCUAACUACGUG